AGAAUCAACGCUGGCGGCGUGCCUAACACAUGCAAGUCGCACGAGAAAGGGACUUCGGUCCUGAGUACAGUGGCGCACGGGUGAGUAACACGUGAAUCAUCUACCUCCGAGUGGGGAAUAACUGAGAGAAAUCUGGGCUAAUACCGCAUAAUACCUUCGGGUCAAAGGAGCAAUUCGCUUAAGGAGGGGGUCGCGGCCGAUUAGUUAGUUGGCGGGGUAAUGGCCCACCAAGACUGUGAUCGGUA
RNAcentral lists this ribosomal RNA (245 nucleotides) under uncultured bacterium. Its description in RNAcentral is "partial small subunit ribosomal RNA". It matches the Rfam family "Bacterial small subunit ribosomal RNA", at positions 26 to 285 of the family's 1533-position model. The record is from RNAcentral.